ACUUUGGGUUUGAGUGGUCAUGCUAGAGACAAAAACAGUCAUAGAUAAUUAUGAGGAUAGUAUCUUUCCGAUGGGGAUAAGAGAAUUCCUACUAUUCUCUUUCUUCUCUCAAUUGAAGAAA
Molecule: non-coding RNA, 121 nt
Organism: Phoenix dactylifera (date palm)
Lineage: Eukaryota; Viridiplantae; Streptophyta; Magnoliopsida; Arecales; Arecaceae
Source: RefSeq, a predicted model, not a curated record